Long non-coding RNA from Arachis duranensis, 763 nucleotides. RefSeq lists it as uncharacterized. The record is from RefSeq and is a predicted model, not a curated record. The transcript is spliced from 3 exons. Lineage: Eukaryota; Viridiplantae; Streptophyta; Magnoliopsida; Fabales; Fabaceae.
CCGCAGCUCUUCCCUAAGCGCCAUGAUUGUUCCUUUCUUCAUAUGCAUAUGUUUCUUCGGAUUAGAUCUACGUUCAGAUUUUGUUUAUAUAUUGAAUUGUUUUUGUUCUUAUACAACUUGGAAUGAGUGUGAACACUAUGGAUGCAGGCAUAAGAGAAGAAGCUUGCGAACCCUACGAGGGAAAUCAAAGUGCAGAAGCUUGUCCUCAACAUCUCCGUUGGUGAGAGUGGCGAUUGUCUCACCAAAAUGAUGGGAGGUGUUUGAUGGAUAAAUCAAAGUGCAGAAGCUCCAUCCCUUGAUAGAUAAAUCGUCUUGCUCGAAUUGUUGAUUCACUGCAGUGGAGAAAAAACAUCAGGUGAGACCACAAAGUAGUUACUCCAUAUACAAUUAUUCAUUCAGUGGACACCAGGAACAUCAGCGAUCUGAGCAGGUAUGCUAACUUGAAGAACAACAAACUAACAAAUUACACCUUCAACUUUGAUCAGAUGCUCAACGAUAAGGUGCUAAACUAUAGCUAUGCAAAUUUUGUGUCAUGCUUUGGAAGCAAGAGCAAAACAGAUAUUAGUUAGCUUUAGUGACCUUUAUUUAUAUGUUCAGCCACUUUUUUCCCAUUUUUCCCUCCUAAUAGAUCAUACUUGUAAGCUAGUAGUUCUCUUCACCUUAUUUCAGUAUUUUUAUAUGUAUAGUUUCAUAAUUACCCCAACAUAAUGGGAAAAAGUUUGGAAGUUGUUUUGUUGUUUAAUUUUACAUGUAUUUGAGUAUC